AACGCACAUUGCGCCCUGUGGUAUUCCGCAGGGCAUGCCUGUUCGAGCGUCAUUUCAACCCUCAAGCCUCGCUUGGUGUUGGGCCCUGCCCGCCGCGGCCGGCCCUAAAGACAGUGGCGGCGCCGCCUGGCCCUCAGCGUAGUACAGCUCUCGCUCCAGGGUCCGGCGGCAGCCUGCCAGAACCCCCCAACUCUGUGGUUGACCUCGGAUCAGGUAGGGAUACCCGCUGAACUUAA
RNAcentral lists this unclassified non-coding RNA (236 nucleotides) under uncultured fungus. RNAcentral's name for it is "sequence contains ITS2". The stretch from base 1 to 52 matches the Rfam family "5.8S ribosomal RNA", at positions 103 to 154 of the family's 154-position model. The record is from RNAcentral. Lineage: Eukaryota; Fungi.